RNAcentral lists this ribosomal RNA (203 nucleotides) under uncultured Lachnospiraceae bacterium. Its description in RNAcentral is "partial 16S ribosomal RNA". It matches the Rfam family "Bacterial small subunit ribosomal RNA", at positions 293 to 513 of the family's 1533-position model. The record is from RNAcentral. Lineage: Bacteria; Bacillati; Bacillota; Clostridia; Lachnospirales; Lachnospiraceae.
UGAGAGGGUGACCGGCCACAUUGGGACUGAGACACGGCCCAAACUCCUACGGGAGGCAGCAGUGGGGAAUAUUGCACAAUGGGGGAAACCCUGAUGCAGCGACGCCGCGUGAAGGAUGAAGUAUUUCGGUAUGUAAACUUCUAUCAGCAAGGAAGAAAAUGACGGUACCUGACUAAGAAGCCCCGGCUAACUACGUGCCAGCA